RNAcentral lists this ribosomal RNA (200 nucleotides) under uncultured bacterium. Its description in RNAcentral is "partial 16S ribosomal RNA". It matches the Rfam family "Bacterial small subunit ribosomal RNA", at positions 30 to 232 of the family's 1533-position model. The record is from RNAcentral.
AUUGAACGCUGGCGGCAUGCCUUACACAUGCAAGUCGAACGGUAACGCGGGGCAACCUGGCGACGAGUGGCGAACGGGUGAGUAAUAUAUCGGAACGUGCCCAGUAGUGGGGGAUAGCCCGGCGAAAGCCGGAUUAAUACCGCAUACGACCUACGGGUGAAAGCGGGGGAUCGCAAGACCUCGCGCUAUUGGAGCGGCUG